Long non-coding RNA from Herpailurus yagouaroundi (jaguarundi), 197 nucleotides. RefSeq lists it as uncharacterized. NCBI's taxonomy places the organism in Eukaryota, Metazoa, Chordata, Mammalia, Carnivora, Felidae. The record is from RefSeq and is a predicted model, not a curated record. The transcript is spliced from 2 exons.
CAGAAUUCCAUUUCCCUACUCAUUUAUUCACAUUCAAAAGCUAUGACAUUGCUUCUUCCAAGCAAGAUUUUAUUCUAGGAGCUCCAGGAGUCAAACAAAAAACUCAUUUGUCUCAAGGAGAGGGGAUAUCACCACAUCUAAGGAGCUGCCUGACUAGAUUUUGCUUAAUAUGUAUAAAGCGUGACACCAUGGCCAUA